This 83-nucleotide small RNA is filed under the name Marmota monax (woodchuck). The record is from RNAcentral. Lineage: Eukaryota; Metazoa; Chordata; Mammalia; Rodentia; Sciuridae.
GCCGGGUGCUGUGGUGCUCGCCUGAAAUCCCAGCGUCUUGGGAGGCUGAGGCAGGAGGAUUGUAAGUUCAAAACCAGCCUCAG